AGGACGAACGCUGGCGGCGUGCUUAACACAUGCAAGUCGAACGGUGAAAGAGGAGCUUGCUCCUCUCGAUCAGUGGCGAACGGGUGAGUAACACGUGAGUAACCUGCCCUUGACUCUGGGAUAACCUCGGGAAACCGAAGCUAAUACCGGAUACGACCCUCGGAGGCAUCUCCAGGGGGUGGAAAGAACUUUGGUCAAGGAUGGACUCGCGGCCUAUCAGGUAGUUGGUGAGGUAAAGGCCUACCAAGGCGACGACGGGUA
Molecule: ribosomal RNA, 261 nt
Filed under: uncultured bacterium
Lineage: Bacteria
Description: partial small subunit ribosomal RNA
Rfam family: Bacterial small subunit ribosomal RNA
Source: RNAcentral